Molecule: ribosomal RNA, 468 nt
Filed under: uncultured bacterium
Lineage: Bacteria
Description: partial 16S ribosomal RNA
Rfam family: Bacterial small subunit ribosomal RNA
Source: RNAcentral
GACGAACGCUGGCGGCGUGCUUAACACAUGCAAGUCGAACGGAAAGGCCCUGCUUUUGUGGGGUGCUCGAGUGGCGAACGGGUGAGUAACACGUGAGUAACCUGCCCUUGACUUUGGGAUAACUUCAGGAAACUGGGGCUCAUACCGGAUAGGAGCUCCUGCUGCAUGGUGGGGGUUGGAAAGUUUCGGCGGUUGGGGAUGGACUCGCGGCUUAUCAGCUUGUUGGUGGGGUAGUGGCUUACCAAGGCUUUGACGGGUAGCCGGCCUGAGAGGGUGACCGGCCACAUUGGGACUAAGAUACGGCCCAGACUCCUACGGGAGGCAGCAGUGGGGAAUAUUGCACAAUGGGCGGAAGCCUGAGGCAGCAACGCCGCGUGCGGGAUGACGGCCUUCGGGUUGUAAACCGCUUUCGCCUGUGACGAAGCGUGAGUGACGGUAAUGGGUAAAGAAGCACCGGCUAACUACGUG